UACAGAGGUCUCGAGCGUUAGGCGGAAUCACUGGGCUUAAAGCGUGUGUAGGCGGCAUGGUAAGUACAUUGUGAAAUCCCACGGCUCAACCGUGGAACUGCUUGGUAUACUGCUUUUCUUGAGCCACUUAGGGGCAACCGGAACAAACGGUGGAGCGGUGAAAUGCGUAGAUAUCGUUUGGAACGCCAAUGGUGAAAACAGGUUGCUGGGAGUGUGCUGACGCUGAGACACGAAAGCCAGGGGAGCAAACGGG
Molecule: ribosomal RNA, 253 nt
Filed under: uncultured bacterium
Lineage: Bacteria
Description: partial 16S ribosomal RNA
Rfam family: Bacterial small subunit ribosomal RNA
Source: RNAcentral